CCUACGGGAGGCUGCAGUGGGGAAUAUUGGACAAUGGGGGGAACCCUGAUCCAGCCAUGCCGCGUGUGUGAAGAAGGCCCUCGGGUUGUAAAGCACUUUCAGUGAGGAAGAACGCCUGGUGGUUAAUACCCAUCAGGAAAGACAUCACUCACAGAAGAAGCACCGGCUAACUCCGUGCCAGCAGCCGCGGUAAUACGGAGGGUGCGAGCGUUAAUCGGAAUUACUGGGCGUAAAGCGCGCGUAGGUGGCUUGAUAAGCCGGUUGUGAAAGCCCCGGGCUCAACCUGGGAACGGCAUCCGGAACUGUCAAGCUAGAGUGCAGGAGAGGAAGGUAGAAUUCCCGGUGUAGCGGUGAAAUGCGUAGAGAUCGGGAGGAAUACCAGUGGUGAAGGCGGCCUUCUGGACUGACACUGACACUGAGGUGCGAAAGCGUGGGUAGCAAACAGGAUUAGAUACCCUGGUAGUC
This 465-nucleotide ribosomal RNA is filed under the name Vreelandella stevensii. RNAcentral's name for it is "partial 16S ribosomal RNA". It matches the Rfam family "Bacterial small subunit ribosomal RNA", at positions 338 to 795 of the family's 1533-position model. Lineage: Bacteria; Pseudomonadati; Pseudomonadota; Gammaproteobacteria; Oceanospirillales; Halomonadaceae. The record is from RNAcentral.